RNAcentral lists this ribosomal RNA (859 nucleotides) under uncultured bacterium. RNAcentral's name for it is "bacterial SSU rRNA". The stretch from base 8 to 546 matches the Rfam family "Bacterial small subunit ribosomal RNA", at positions 35 to 539 of the family's 1533-position model. The record is from RNAcentral.
AAUGAACGCUGGCGGCGUGGUUAACACAUGCAAGUCGAACGGGCUUUCGUGAAGGGCAACCGGAUCGAAAGCCAGUGGCGAACGGGUGCGUAACACGUGAACAAUUUACCUGCGAGUGGGGAAUAGCCCGCCGAAAGGCGAACUAAUACCGCAUGUGGUUGAUGACCGCAUGGUUGUCAUACUAAAGCCGGGGACCGCAAGGGCCGGUGCUCACAGAGGAGUUCGCGGGCUAUCACCUACUUGGGGAGGGAACGGCUCACCAAUGCUAAGACGGGUAACCUGCCUGAGAAGAUGAUCGGCCACACUGGAACUGAGAAACGGGGCAUACACCUACGGGGGGUAGCAAUUUCCAAAUAUUCACCAUGGGCGCAAACCUGAUAGGGCCCAUCCCCGUGGGGGAACAAAAGUCUUCCGAAUGCGAACCCCCGCCCCCGCGGAACAAACACUUCGGAGCUUCCAUUUUCCAUCCCCGCCUUACCCCCCGUAAGGGAAACCGUGGCGGACCCCUUCUUUUCCCCCUCCCCCCCGCAGUUACGGAAGGGGUGCCCACCCUUGGUUCCGGAACUAAAGCGGGCGCACAAGGCCGCACUUUGUGGCGCGUCGGCAAAUCCACAGUUGACAUAUCUCGGCGUUACACGGGGGACCGCCUUCUCCUACCCGCCGUGUUUUUCCCCCCGUGCGGGUAUCCCGCAUCUUCCCGCGUGGUAGACGAGACACAUUACAUCUACUGGAGGAAACCCCGUGGGCGACAGUGUGCGUUCUUGCCGACCAUUGGCCUCCGCUAGCCCGUAACAAGUCGGGUCAAUCAGACUCUGUAUAUCCCCCUUGCCACCUUUGAAUGGGAGUAAUCACGCGUGGG